Molecule: ribosomal RNA, 252 nt
Filed under: uncultured bacterium
Lineage: Bacteria
Description: partial 16S ribosomal RNA
Rfam family: Bacterial small subunit ribosomal RNA
Source: RNAcentral
UCCUACGGGGCGCAGCAGUGGGGAAUAUUGGGCAAUGGGCGCAAGCCUGACCCAGCAACGCCGCGUGAAGGAAGAAGGCUUUCGGGUUGUAAACUUCUUUUGACAGGGAAGAGCAGAAGACGGUACCUGUCGAAUAAGCCACGGCUAACUACGUGCCAGCAGCCGCGGUAAUACGUAGGUGGCAAGCGUUGUCCGGAUUUACUGGGUGUAAAGGGCGUGUAGCCGGGCUGACAAGUCAGAUGUGAAAUCCGG